GGAUAUGAGGGUGAUCUGGCAGCAACAUCUGUCACCUCAUUGAUCACCAGGGUUGAUUUGACUGAUUUGGCUGGGUAGGCGGGUGUCCCCUUCCUCCCUCAUCACUCCAUGUGCGUCCCUCCCAAAGCUGUGUGCUUGGUCGAAGAGGACAACCAUCUCUGAUAAAGGAGGACCAGUCUUUGGUCAAGGGUAUACGAGUAGCUGUGCUCCCCUGCUAGAACCUCCAAACAAGCUCUCAAAAACAGGUAGUGUGCUGGCUUUGGCCCAGACCUUUGCUUGCCAGCCUCUGUUUUUAGAUGGAUCAUUCUG
Molecule: small nuclear RNA, 309 nt
Filed under: Pongo abelii (Sumatran orangutan)
Lineage: Eukaryota; Metazoa; Chordata; Mammalia; Primates; Hominidae
Rfam family: 7SK RNA
About the family: 7SK was discovered as an abundant small nuclear RNA in the mid-70s but a possible function has only recently been suggested. Two independent studies have found that 7SK RNA binds the CDK9/cyclin T complex (known as elongation factor P-TEFb). P-TEFb activates transcription by phosphorylating the C-terminal domain of RNA polymerase II.
Source: RNAcentral